Mus musculus (house mouse) is the source of this 10328-nucleotide RNA transcript. It is a transcript of the gene named casein kinase 1, gamma 1, with no coding region annotated. NCBI's taxonomy places the organism in Eukaryota, Metazoa, Chordata, Mammalia, Rodentia, Muridae. The record is from RefSeq and is marked validated. The transcript is spliced from 15 exons.
UGCAUUAGUACUUCCGGCUUGGCUCGGCCGCCCCUCAACUGGUCUUCCCCCUCCCCUCCGCCUCCUCCGCUCCCUCCGCUCCCUCCCGCUCCUGGGAAAGCAAAGCUGCGGCUUAAGGGGUGGUUGAGAGAAGCAGUAGGCGCCUCGGGGAGGGGACCGCGCCCGCCCCCUUGGAACACUGGAGCACCGCUGAUUUAGGGAUACAAAAAUGAAGAUAUGGUGUGUACUUUUAUUAAUCAAGUUGAAGAAACAAGACUUCAAAGGAGGACAGGUGUGAGGCCAGUGCACCUUUGACCCAAUGGGGCUUAACUGGUUACAAAAUGUCCUUCUAUGCAUGAGAUCUACGGACUAUAUGUUCUUCAAGAACUGAUCAGUGGUUUUCACCUUCUGGAAGAACACUAGAAGCAUAAAUAUGGUGCCAAAACUCCUCAUUCUCUGACUGUGGUGAUUUGGACAUACUUCUGUGUGGAGGAGAAGUAUACACGCUGAGGUCACUCAUUGUUCAGAGACUGUCGUGUAGGAACAUGGACCAUUCUAAUAGGGAAAAGGAUGAUAGACAACGGACAACUAAAACCAUGGCACAAAGGAAUACACACUGUUCGAGACCAUCUGGCACUUCAACAUCCUCUGGGGUUCUCAUGGUGGGACCCAACUUCAGGGUUGGCAAGAAGAUAGGGUGUGGGAACUUCGGAGAGCUCAGAUUAGGUAAAAAUCUCUACACCAAUGAAUAUGUAGCCAUUAAACUGGAACCAAUAAAAUCACGUGCUCCACAACUUCAUUUAGAGUACAGGUUUUAUAAACAGCUUGGCAGUGCAGGUGAAGGCCUCCCACAGGUUUAUUACUUUGGACCAUGUGGGAAGUACAAUGCCAUGGUGCUGGAACUCCUUGGCCCUAGCUUGGAAGACUUGUUUGACCUCUGUGACCGAACGUUUACUUUGAAGACGGUGUUAAUGAUAGCCAUCCAGUUGCUUUCUCGAAUGGAGUAUGUACACUCAAAGAAUCUUAUUUACCGAGAUGUCAAACCAGAGAACUUCUUGAUUGGCCGACAAGGCAAUAAGAAAGAGCAUGUAAUACACAUUAUAGAUUUUGGACUGGCCAAGGAAUAUGUUGAUCCUGAAACCAAAAAACACAUACCUUACAGAGAGCACAAAAGUUUGACUGGAACUGCGAGAUACAUGUCUAUCAACACACAUCUAGGCAAAGAGCAAAGCCGGCGAGAUGAUUUGGAAGCCUUAGGCCAUAUGUUCAUGUACUUCCUCCGAGGCAGCCUACCCUGGCAAGGACUCAAGGCUGAUACAUUAAAAGAGAGAUAUCAAAAAAUCGGUGAUACCAAAAGGAAUACUCCCAUCGAAGCUCUCUGUGAGAACUUUCCAGAGGAGAUGGCAACCUACCUUCGAUAUGUCAGGCGAUUAGACUUCUUUGAAAAACCUGAUUAUGAGUAUUUACGGACCCUCUUCACAGAUCUGUUUGAACGGAAAGGCUAUACCUUUGACUAUGCCUAUGAUUGGGUUGGAAGGCCUAUUCCUACUCCAGUAGGAUCAGUUCAUGUAGAUUCUGGUGCAUCUGCAAUAACUCGAGAAAGCCACACACACAGGGAUCGGCCAUCACAACAACAGCCUCUUAGAAAUCAGCUAGUUUCUCUUUUACUUUCACACUGCUUUUUCAAAAAUUUACUUACUUUAUGUGUGUGUGUGUGUGUGUGUGUGUGAUAUAAUGUAUAUGUACACACACAUACAUGAUACAUACACACACACCAUGUAUGUGCAGAUGCUGGAGAAGAGGGCAUUAUUAGUUCUCUGUGAACUGGAGUUAUAGGCAAUUGUGAGCUCUCUGGAGUGAGUGCUGAACCCUUGGGGCCUCUGGAGGAGCAGCAGUGCUCUUUACUGCUAAGUCACCUCUCCAACUGCCUAUCUUCUUUUGUCUUUGGUGACCAUUGAGUUUAACUGGGGUUGCUUACUGAGGAAUGGGCAAUUUACCAAUAACUACAGGGCUAAAAAAAAAUGUUCCUCUCCUAGCAACUAGUAACUGCCUAUAGAUCCUUAAAUAGGGGCAGGUCUUUGUGAGCUCCUUCUCUUGCUUUUUUUAUUUUUUAUUUCUAGUAUGUUUGUCUUUGUGCUUUGUAUGUGCCUGGUGCUGACUGAGGUCAGAGGAGGGCAUUAGAUUCCCUGGAACUGGAGUUACUGACAAUUGUAAGCUACCAUGUGGGUGUUGGGAACUGAUUUCAGGUUCUCUGCAAGUGCUCUGAGAUACUGUAAAGUAUUUAAGUCUUGGGAAGCUGGGCACUGUUGUGGCAUACACACACCUGAAGCAGGAGCAUUCAUGAGUUUGAGGCCAGCCUGGAGUUAUAUAAUGAGACCUAAUUCUACAUAAUAGUGUAAGAACUUGAAUACUCUAUUUAAACUUUACUAAACUAAUUGUGUAUCUUCUAAUGUUAAAAAAAAAAAAAACAUUCAAUUGUCUAGGCAUCAGAUAAUGUCACUGGGUUUAUAACAUGGUAAAAUUUUGCUAGAUACCCCAGCCUUUUUUUUUUUUUUCCCCCAAGAUAGAGUUUUUCUCUAUAGCCCUGGCUGUCCUGGAACUCACUCUCUCACUCUGUAGACCAGGCUGCCUUCAAACUCAGAAAUCCCCCUGCCUCUGCCUCCAAAGUGCUGGGAUUAAAGGCGUGUGCCACCACUGCCUGGCCUACCACAGUCUUAUUUUGGAAAACUUAACAUCUGAAUAUCUAUCAACAGAAACGGUUGGAUGGGAAGCAUCAAAGUAGUGUAUACUCUAAUCCCAGCUACACAGGUCACUGGUGGGAUGAUGGUAUGACAGUUCAAGAUCAACCUAAGCAACUUAACCCCUCAGGGAAGGGAUAUUUAUAAUAGUUUCAACUCUCUGUGAUGCUGUCAGCAUGAAACCCAAACCCCACUUAUAGAAGUUACACAGUAAGCAAGUUAAUACAGCUAUCUCCUUAUUGAACCUCUUCAUCCUCCAAAGGAAGUAACAGCAAAUCAGACCAGAAUCUUUUACAGUACUGUUACUACCUAUCCAUGUGACUUCAGAGUCUGUUAAUAAUGGUGAGUAAAUUAUAGCUUUAUAGGAAAUGUCUGUUAGGGCACUUACUAAUGAACUUUAAACAGUUCUUAUCAAUGAAAUCCUUAGAGGGAAAUAGUCAAUAUGGAGCCUUAAGCUAUAGAAUACACAUUUAUAUUUACCAGCAUUUACGGGAUUUAUAAGUUCCUUACCUAGUGUUCAUGUAGAGGAAUGAUACUCUAUUCCAACCCCUGCUGUUACUGAUAUUAGCAGCAAUUAAAUUUUUAAUUACUAAUCCUUCAUUACUUCCUCUUAAACUACUCAUUUUCAUUUUUUAAACCUUUAGGGCUAUUACACAGCUGUGAGACAUGGUGGUAGUACCUCAGCCAUCUGGCACAGGGCAGAAGGGACCUAGACUCUUGAGAACAAAAAGUCACACAUAAGUGAUAGCAGACUAGCAUGAGAGCUUAAACAACAAAGUGGUAAAGAAGACAUGAGGACAGCCUGAAUGGCAGCAAAAAUAGAAACAGUAUCAAGAGUUUUAAUUUUUUAGAGACCCUAUUUUUGCUGAAUAAAUAUCUGCCUUUUGCUUUCCAUAAGAAAGUAAUUCACAUCAGUCAUGUCAGUUAGUAAAUUGUUUCUAAUUCCAAAUUAAAUACUAUUGGCCCAAGGAAUCAAAAGCUUUAUUCUGUCUUUGUGUGCUUGCUUGUUCUUAACGUGUCAGUCUCCUUUAAAAAGAUAUUUUGGGGGCUGGAGAGAUGGCUCAGUGGUGAAUAUCACUGACUGCUCUUCCAGAGGCCUAGAUUCAGUAUUCAGGCCCCACACAGUGACUUACCACCGUUUGUGACCCCAGUUCCAGCAUAUCUAACACCUUCUUCUGGUCUUCAUAGGCACAUGGUACACAUACAUACCUGUAAGCACAACACUCAUACAUAUAAAACAAAUCUACAAAUACUUUUAAUAAGUAAAAUAUUUUUUAAAAUUAAAGAAAACUACUUUUCUCGUUUAUUUAGAUAUGAAAGCAUAUUCCAGCCACUGUUCAUCUUAGUGAAUCUCUUGUUAGUCAGCUAUGGUGUUUUACGCCUAAAUCUCAGCACUUAGUGUGCUGAAAUAGAAGAAUUGUUAUGAAUUUCAUACCAAUCAGGGUCUCAAAAAUGGAAGAAGAGGAGAAGGAACAGCAAAAUAAGAAAAAACAUGUCUCAUGGACAUUAACCUUGAGAGUAGAAAGCUACCUACCUAUUUAAGAAAAUGGCAUCAUCUUGGUUCCUCAUAGGAAGACUUUUAUCUGCUCAGUUAUUUAAUCAAUGAAAUUAUAAGUAUGACUGUUGCUCAAUAUCUUUUAACUUUUCUGAAUUUGAUCUGCGUAGUGGCUGCUGAAAUCACACUAAUGUGGAAGCUGAAAGGUGAUUCCCAGUUUUUGGUUGGCUCCCUCUCUACUCUUGGUCAGUACAGGUUUUCUUUCAACUGAUGUGUUGGUUGGUUAGUGGAAAUGAAUGCAGCCAUGGUAUUAUUUCUAGGUGCUCUGCAGCAGUUGUUAAUGUCAGGUUCCAAACAGAAGGCCUGCAGGAACACUAAUGUACUCGGUUUUGUUGUUGCUUUCUGUUGCUUUACCUUUCCUUCCAUAUCUCGCUGUCAUGCUUCCUAAUGCCUAAGCAGACUACAUCAUCAGAGCGCCGAGGAGAGUGGGAAAUCCAGCCCAGCCGGCAGACCAAUACCUCAUACCUGACGUCUCACUUGGCCGCAGACCGCCAUGGGGGUUCAGUACAGGUGGUUAGCUCAACCAAUGGAGAGCUGAAUGUCGAUGACCCCACUGGAGCUCACUCCAAUGCACCAAUCACAGCUCAUGCCGAAGUGGAGGUAGUGGAGGAAGCUAAGUGCUGCUGUUUCUUUAAGAGGAAAAGGAAGAAGACAGCCCAGCGACACAAGUGACCAGUGCCUCCCAGGAGUCCUCAAGUCCUGGGGACUCUGGCUCCAAUUGCACCUGCAGCUCCUGCCAUUUCUCAUUGGAAGGGACUCCUCUGUGGGGGAGGGUAGAGAUCCAAACCAAAAAGAAGAAAACAGAUGCCCCCAGAAGGAGCCAGUGCAGGCAGCCAGGGCCGAGUGGGCCAGUGGCAAUCCCCUCUGUCUGAGCUCUGAGCGGGUCCAGAGCUGCUGCUUCUCCACUGCUUGCCCUUGGGCUAUCUGGUUGACUCUCUUCCCAUUGUUUACAGUGAAGGUGUCAUUCACAAAAACUCAAGGACUACUAUUCUCUUCCCCCCUUUUUACUCCUGGCUCUUGCACCAUCCUCAACCCUCUCCAGCAUAAAGAAACUACUAAGCUAAAGGCUCUAUCAAGAAGCUGGUGGUGUGGCCAAGAAGAUAGGGGAAGAUGACAGCCCUGGGCUGGAGAACUUCUCCACUUCCCAGGUGUGUCUGGUAGUGUGGCUUCCUCUCCCUCUGUGCCUGGGUAACCCCUCAGCCCAGCUGGCCACAGGGUUCAGGUCCCUUCCUUUGUCCUUCCCUUCCUCCCUCCCUCCUUCCCUCCUGUGAAGUUACACUGUAGGACACAAGCUGUGAGCAGUCUGCAGUCUACUGUCCCUGUGUGUUGGCGUUCUUAGCUUUUUUGACAAGCAGAUCCCUUGCUCCGGGCUGUAGCAAAAUAUGCCUGUGGUUCUGAGCAAAGGAAAGGAAACUGACUUUAUUGCACUUUUAGUUUUUUGGGUUUUUGUUUUUAUUUUAUAAACAACAUGGCAGAUGCAUAUUGUGUCUGGUUAUAUUGGGGGGUUUGUUUUUUUUUUUUUUUUCUUUUUCAAGGGGGAUGGGCCAGCCAAGCCAUUCAGAGAAAAUGUGGGUCCAGAGGACAUUUUUGAUGGAAAGAGUCUGAUUUGCAGCACUUGGAAGAGAAGAAGCCAAACUCUGCGUCAUCCUGAGUAAUAUUCAGGUUGGCAAGGAAACAUACUUGAAUUUUCAUUCAUCUUCUCUGCUGCAGAAAAAAGUCCAGAGCCCUGACCUAAUCAAUCAGCCCAGACCUAAUCAAUCAGCCCAGAGCUUGAGCCCAGCUCCUGAGCCCGUGGGAUGAGCACCGAGCCAGACUGUGACCAACCAGAAGGCACCUCGUCUCAGAGAGGAGAUACUGAACAACAACAACAAAGCAAAUUUCUGUUUCCUCCACUGCCAGGGACUUCCUACUAGAUAGCCAUGUGACUUUCUGUUGACUCGGGGGACAAAAUUAGUGACUAAACACCCACCACCGUAUUGCCAGUAGUGGACAAAAGAAGGCACCACAUUUGCCUUCCAACUGCCAGAGGAGUCUCAGGAUGCAGCAUCCUAGGGCCAGGAAAAGAAAAUAUUUUCUGUCUGCCUGAAGUGAGCUAGAACAUGUGGGUCAGUCUGCCUUAGAAACCAUGCCUGUGAUAAUUUUGGAGCAUAUCCAUAGCAACAGGCUUAGAACGUGGUACAUGGGGCUGCUGCAAGCAGAGAAGGUAAGAUUGGUUGGUGCUAGGAAAUUCCAGGGAAAAGGAAACUGUAAUGAAAGGUCUAAAAUUUUAUCUAAACAAUCGAACAGAGACUGUCCAGACAGUAUGACCACAUAUCUUAGCAUGUUUUCCCCGGUACACACUCUAUCUGCUACGGUGAAGCAUCACUGGUUGCACAGUUAACAGUGUGUGGGGUUACUCCUCCCAUGUUCUAUUUUAUUUGAGAUUAGUGGCAUUUCCAGAUAGUAACUUCUUAUGCUAGUUGUGGCAAAAAGGCUUAUUCACGUGGGUAAAGAGGUCUUGUGUUUGGGUAUAAAGAACUAACCACCGAGAGCAGUGGCUAGUGACUUAGUACAGCACAGAACUCUUUGCUUUUAUAUGUAGAGGACUGGACUGGAAGAUGUCAGGACACUUGUGGUCAUGGAUCAAAUUUAGUAUCAAAUGAAGCAGAGUUUGUGCACCUUACCUGUUCUAUUGGACUGUGGCUAGGGAAUCUCCUCACUGACUUCAAACCUGGUUAGCAUUUGUAAAUAUUGCCACCUGGCCAUUUCUUUACAAGAAAUGUUUUUGUCUGUGAAUCAGAGUGGCAGGGAGAAGUCAGGUCAGACCCCUUCCCCAUAAGGAGUUGGAGUGUUAGGAUUUGCUUCCUUUUUACUAUAUAGUAGUUAAAGCUCAUCACUAACAUUUAUACAGUCCCUCAUUUGGCAUGUGGGCAACUCUGACUUCCCCUACAGAAACUUAAAAGUCUUUAUCCCAGGAAAUGGUGGCAACCUGGCACUCUCUGCCCUACUAAGUGCCUCCCCCACCCUGCUUCCAAGGUAAAGUAAAGGCAGUGACCAGCUUGGCUGCAGGGUGGGAUGCCCUGCAGCUGGGCUUAAGACUUCUUUUUUGUCUUAAAAUAUUUUUAUAGGCUAGCUCUUGAGGGGUUAAACCUGAGUGGUUUGUGUAUGUGGGGGAGUGUCCUUCCUAAUGCACUGUUGGCACCCUCCAGCACCCACAAAUCCCUUACUAGGUAUUUGGGUUUUGUAGCAAAGGUCCCUUUAACGUGCAGGGUGGUGGUGAUCCUUUCAAGGCCAGUGACACGCCAAGGUGAUCCCAAACCUGAGGAAUUCUCAUCUUCCUUAAAGUUAAAAUAGAACUAAAUUCCCCCAAAACACUCUUCUCAUCAUUUCAGCCCCCACCCCCAGCCCAGCACUUGAGGCUUCAUGCACAUCCCUGCUUCUUUUACCUGCCUGACUGCAAGCUCAGCAGAUCCUCGGGCACAGGCAACCCCCUCCAUCUCCUUGCAUCCAGGUCCACUUGCUCCAUCUCACCCGACACUUGAGACAGCAGGCAUUUGAUACUGUACUAUCUGGAGUUUCCUCGAGCUUUGCUGUCCUUGAGACAUUGCAGUUUGAGCAGACUGAGGUCCAGCCAGGCCAGGGUUACACCAGGGUGUAAAGUGUUCAGUCAUAUAAGUGGAUUUUCAGAAUUCUUGCUCCAGACUGCCCCCAAGGCUGCACUGAAUGUCCCAGCAGCUGGUGAACACUCAUGACUGCCUUAACAUUCUUCUACUUCGGGUCUGUCCAGGAGCAAACAGGGUCUGUGAAGAUGUCUGAGUCAGGCGACUAGGUAAGUCUCCAGUUAAAAGUCCCAUUUCGAUUGGAACAAACUGCAGGAAACAGCAAGUCCCCAAGAUUUCUGAAAGUGUUCACUUCCUUUUCAUUUUUAGUGAAUGACAAGAACUCAGAAGCACCCCGUGUCCAUUAGCCAGAUGGUGUACAUCUUCUGUAAAAUAACUUCCAGUUUAGUUCAGAAGGAAAGUGUGCUGUAGUGCUUAUUUAGUGUUGAUGUUCAAUGUUAGCAACCACUUGAAUUGCCAGAAGUAUGCUAUGUUAAAGUGGUUGCUAAGGAUCAUAGCCUUAAUUUAAAAAAAAAAAUGUAAAAGAUAAUUCAUUCCCCUCCAUGUUGAGCUAGUAUGGCUGCAUUUCUCAAGAAUAAGUCCACAGGCGCCUAGGAAGCAUUUCCUCAAAGGAACUUGGUCUUAAUUUCUCUUGACCCAUCCCUCCCAAGCCCAUAUGGCUCCUGUGUCCCAGCCACCUCUUCCAUGUUCAUAAGUGAGACCAGUUUUUCAUGUCUAUUUAGUUGUUCUGAUGAUGCUUUGUCUAGUGUCGGUCGGUCAUACCAUGACCUGAAUUUGAAGACCAGGAGUUUGCAUGGUCAUAUAACCAACAUUGCCUUUGCCAGGCCACUGCCACCAUCCCUCGAUUGCCCCAGGUGGGCAGGUUGAUUCCAGAGACCCUCAGGGAGCCAGAAUAACUAGGUACCCAUCUGGAUUGGCCAUGUGGGUGAUGAGCACUUAUCUCUGGAUUUCUUGAUUUUGCAGACUUCAAGGAAGUCCAGGUAGAGGUUGAUGGCCAAUGACUCCAGCCUUCCCCAUGAUGGGUUGGUAGGAAUCAAAUUAGAAUUCCUUUGUUUAUCAGGCAACUUUGUUUUAAGGUGGUUUGUUUUUUGAUUAUGAAAAGGAAGAGGCCACCAUGGCCCUUCUGUGAGUUUGUAAGUUUUGAGCAGUGUUUUCAUCACCAGUCCUGGGAGUCUCUGAUCCAAUCACCAGUCUGAAGGUGUUUUUUCCUACUUUUGCAAGUAACUAAGUACAGAAGAAUAGAGUUCUUAAUGUAUUCAAAAUAGUAAGUAGAUCCCUGAAUAUAGGCAAUAGUAGUUGAAAUAUUUUCUCAGAAAAACAAAACAACCAGGAAACCCACUCCAGUAUUUAUAGAUCAGAUUAUCAAGGGAAAAAAGUGAAUAUGCACUCCAUAUAUCUCUAGUUCAGUUACCAAACUUGAUCUUAUAAAGAAACCUCAGUUGUAUGGACAGAAUUAUCCCCCUCCCCAAUCUUUUUCUGGUGCCAUCACCAUCUUGAAGGUCUAAGAGCCAGGAAACAUUGUAGUCAUCUCAGCAGUGUGCAGACAGCUGCCGUCCUGGUUACCCCAAGCCCACCUUUCAGGGUCGGUGAAACCUUUUGGUGCCCCUCUUCAGGAGCUCCAGACCAAACCCCAGGCCACUCCAUGCACCAAAAGCCUUUUAGAAGGCUUCCCAGUCUGUUAGGAUGUCUCAGGAGACAUGAGCCAUUUCGUGGGGGAUGCAUGUACUCACAGAUGGAUGUGUGCACUCUGCUUUGUGGGCUUUCUUCUCAGAGACAGCACAGCUCCUGCGAACUGAUCUCGGUGAGCUGCUCAGACCAGCGAGUAAGCUGGCUCUGAGGCAGAGCAGAGAAUGACAGGAAAGAUGAAACCAAAAAUGCUAUAACUCUCCAAUGGAAAGUAAUGUUGAUGCAGCAAUUCCCAUUGGAUGUAUUACACUCUUCUAAUUUAUUGUUUGUCUCUUAAGUUUUACCCAUUGUACUCUUUAGAAGAUGUUAGGAUGUUGGUUGCAGGUUUUUUUUUUAAGUAGAUGAUGUGGGAAUCAGUUUUAAUUCAUGUGUGGAUGUGUCUAGUUAUUGUUAAAUGCCCUUUUUUUCUACUUUUUAAAAGAUAUGUAAUAUUUCAUAAUCCCUGGCACUGGUCAAAAAAAAAACACAGCUGUGAAAAGUAAAAUUGUAGUAUUUUUUAAAUGAAUGUCAAUUUCAAGUGUAUUUGAAAUGUUUCCUCCAGUAGACAGAUUUGAACACCGUUGGAAAAGACUCCUUUGCAGAGGAACUAGCCUUUGGAGAAAAUGGACUGUGGGUCUGGAUAUGUUAUCUCAGAGUAGCCCAUUUCAUAGGGCACCGUGACAACACAAAUGUGAUCUUUAAGUAUACCUCUUCCCCCUGGGGAGGGAAGGACUUAGUUUGCACCCUUUUUGUAUGUAAAAUAAAAUGUCCUACCUUUCUUGGCUACUUUUA